RNAcentral lists this small nucleolar RNA (84 nucleotides) under Oryza longistaminata (longstamen rice). Its description in RNAcentral is "snoRNA snoZ163". It matches the Rfam family "Small nucleolar RNA Z163/Z177 family". From Rfam's summary of the family: This family of plant snoRNAs belong to the C/D class of snoRNA which contain the C (UGAUGA) and D (CUGA) box motifs. This family includes rice snoRNA Z163 and Z177. Most of the members of the box C/D family function in directing site-specific 2'-O-methylation of substrate RNAs. RNAcentral also lists the same sequence under 1 other name. The record is from RNAcentral. Lineage: Eukaryota; Viridiplantae; Streptophyta; Magnoliopsida; Poales; Poaceae.
UGGCCAGUGAUGAAACGUGAGUUGUACAGAAACCCUGGUGAGUUAAAUGAAGUGAAAUCGACACACAUUGCGUCUCUGAGGCCA